This is a non-coding RNA of Punica granatum (pomegranate), 1824 nucleotides long. The record is from RefSeq and is a predicted model, not a curated record. NCBI's taxonomy places the organism in Eukaryota, Viridiplantae, Streptophyta, Magnoliopsida, Myrtales, Lythraceae.
CUUCUAACCCCCAAGCACCGAUUCAUUGACUCACCGGACACUGCCGAGGUGAGCAUUGCACGUAAAACCCCGCAUUGGCCGAAGCGACAGCGGUGGGCAGAGGCAACGAUGUGUGUGGAGGCAAAUUCGAGCGAUUUCUGCUUCUAAUCCGUUCCAGAACCUGCAUUCAGCUGCAAUUGUUCCGGCGUUCUCAAGAUUCUUCUCCAAGCCAGCUCCAUACGCGGGUGAAGAAGACCCUCUUUUUACCAUCUCGAUCAUUUCAUAUUAUCUUCCGUCACUGAGCUUCAAUUUCUACUCGUUUGUUCUUUCUGAUGCUAGCUGCUGAAGGGAGGGGAGAUUUUCAGGUUUUAGGGAGUGAGGUUCAUUCUAUUGAGUGUAGACUAAUGAGUAGUUGAAGUGUUUCUGCAUAUUAUCACUGCUUAUAUGAAACUAUUUUGUCUAUAAAGGAUGCAACUUUAUUUGAUUGAUAUACAAUGUCAUGGUGGCUGAGAUAACAGAGGAAGUUAGAAGCGGAAAGACGUGUGGGCGGUGCCCGAUAUGAAUAUUCGAGAAGAGUGGUGGAAUGCGAGUAAAACUUGGAGCUUUUGGCCUGAUAGUUUGUCUUAAGCUUAGUUAAAUUUUUGGUAAUCAUCGUCUUCUGUGACUGGAAUUUGCACUGAUCCGAGCGAGAGUAGAAUGCUGACAUCCUAAUUCGAAGAUCUUAACUUUUGCAUACCGUCCGUAUUGAUGUUGUUUGGAUUUUGUAAAACCUGCUUUCUUUUAUGAUCAGCCAAUAUGCAGUUCUCUCGUAUCUCAUUUCGCAUUGGAUUAGAAAAUGGUCAGCACUCUGAUGCCAAAUUCUAAUUUCUUUUCUCCAUUAUUCUUUUUACGAGUGGGAACUGGGUCUAAUGGGAGCCCCUACUCCGGUUCUGUUUCUACGGUAAAGGUUGGGAUACCCGAGUUCCUGCAGGGCAUAGGUGGGGGAGUGGAAGCCCAUGUUGCCAAGCUCGAAACAGAUAUCGGUGACUUCAGCAAGUUGCUCGUAACACGCACUCACCAGCUGAAGAAACUAGGCAUCCCCUGCAAACAUAGGAAGCUGAUAUCGAAAUAUUCCCACAAAUAUAGACUCGGGCUGUGGAGACCACAUGCUGAGCCAUUGAAAGCAUAAUGAUCUUUAACAGUUGCUGCUCCUCCUUCAGAAAACAUGGAAUGCCAGAGUGCUGUGAUUUCAUAACAGAUUGACCUGUUAAUGCAUGUUCUGGAGCUUGGCUAUCUGUUAAGUUUUGCUUGCUUGAUGGACAAGGGAACAUUGAUAUGGGAUUCGAACGAAGUAAGAGACACAAAUUCACAUAGGAAACAGAAGGAUCGUACAAAGAUACUGGCUCUGUAAUUUUCGUGUCAUAUAGGGGUUGAGUGCAUAAAGGAGCAGGAUGGGCUAUUGAUGUAAGUGUGCACAGGAUUCAGUUCGAUCCAAGACGAGAAGUCGACCAGUACAUUGUGAAACAUUACCUGCUACAACGCGUACAGAUUUACAGUGCCACACUGAUCCUCGCGAAAUAGUACCAAGGAUGCCGGCCUGUUACUCCCACCAGACGUCUAUUCCAUUCUGCAUCUGAUCACAUAACAGAUAUUUCACGUGGGAAACUGUUUCUACGAACAAAAUUAAUUUAGCCCAUCUAACAACAAAAUCCCAGGGACUAUUAUACUAAUUCUAUGCCCGUUGUUAUAUCUUCUCGGCAUCUGCCUUGACUGGCUGUGUCACUGAUCCCAGAGGGUUCUUGCUGUAAAUUUAAUGGUUCACUGUCGUAAAUAAAUGUCUGCUCCUUAUGGUGCUAUUAGCGUUUA